UGUCGUUCAAGGCCUUGCUCCUAGCACCAUGGAGGCUGCAUCACAUCUUCACUGGGCUGCUCUCAGGACUGGCCUAGAUCCUCUCCCUCUCUCUCUCUCACAUGCACACACACAACACACACACACACAGUGCUGCUGCCAGGGUCACGGUGAAGUUUGGAAGCCAGGGUAUAGACCGAGUUGAAAGACAACAGCACCUGUCACUUCUGUCCCCACCAUGGAAUGUCUAGAAAUUCCUUCUGGGAACCCCCAGGGGAAGUGAUUGAGACUUCAGGGUGCAAAGAGAAGCUACUGGCCAGACUGCCGGCUGGGAGUGUUUCUUCACCUAGGCAGAUAAGUGCCAUUUGCUAGUGGGGUGUAAAGAAAGUACCUUUGCUGGUGCAGGAAAGCUGAGAGAGCUUGCUUUGUGCCCAGUGCUGUUUUAACUGUCAGGUACAAAUCGUCUCGUCCUUUCCUUCAACCUGGCCCUGAGGCAGGUACAGCUAGUACAAUUUACAGAUUUGUCAGCUGAGGCCUAGAGAGGCCACAUACUUGUUCACCACCCUGCUGGGUUGGGAAUUGGCAAAUGGAACCCCAGGGUCUUUAAAGAGUCCCGUACCUACCUAAGCCAAGUGUCAGUUUUGCUGCCCGUGUGAACCAGACUCCUCCCUACAGGGCAGUAAAGUCCUCUCUCCAGCUUCGUUUGUUCCUGCACUGUCAUUUGGUGCCACCAACUUAUCAGAGACUUCCCUCAGACCUCAACAUGGCGGUGCUGCCACACAUCUGGAAUGUUCUUGGCAACUUAUGUGGUGCACUUUGCAUUGGAAUCGGAAUGCAAAUUAGAGCCUAUAUUUGGUCCCUCGUCUCUCCUCCCAGAAGCACAGGGGAUAUGUUUUAGAGUGAACAGUAGCAGCAGGAAUGUAAAACCAAGGGAGUUUGACUUUCAUUUGUAAAACUUGGAUGAAAUCUUGGUAGAUAAAAAAUUAUAAAAGAGCUUAAGCCACAGGUAUGGCAAUGACAAUGAUAGUCUGUGGCACAGCUUAUUUGUUAUUUGUUCAGAGGUCGGAAUUGCAUUUGAGGAAGAAGGUACUUUAUCCAACAGCUAAACCAAGAAAAGGUUUGUCAACAGUAGACAUCCUGGGGGAGGGAAGGAACCUUGUUAGCAAAUGAUUCACAGAAUUUGUGCUUGUUAUGAAAUAGAGCCCCCCCCAAACACCCCUUUUUAACUUUUUAUUUUUGUAAUAUACAUACAACUCAUAAUUUCUCAUUUUAACCACUUACAAGUGUACAAUUCAGUGGUAUUAAUUACAUUCACAAUAUUCUGCUACCAUCACUCACAUCCAUUACCCAAACUUUUUCAUCACCUCAAACAAAAGCUCUGUACCCAUUAAGCAAUAAUUUCCCAUUCCCCUCACGCCCCCAGCCGCUGGUAACCUAUAAUCUACUGUCUCUGUGAAUUUGCUUACUCUAGGUAUUUCAUGUAAGCAGUAUCACACAGUAUUUGUCCUUUUGUAUCUGGCUUAUUUCACUCAACAUUAUGUAUUCAAGGU
Molecule: long non-coding RNA, 1529 nt
Organism: Choloepus didactylus (southern two-toed sloth)
Lineage: Eukaryota; Metazoa; Chordata; Mammalia; Pilosa; Megalonychidae
Exons: 3
Source: RefSeq, a predicted model, not a curated record